This 253-nucleotide ribosomal RNA is filed under the name uncultured bacterium. RNAcentral's name for it is "partial 16S ribosomal RNA". It matches the Rfam family "Bacterial small subunit ribosomal RNA", at positions 524 to 776 of the family's 1533-position model. The record is from RNAcentral.
UACGUAGGUGGCAAGCGUUGUCCGGAAUUAUUGGGCGUAAAGCGCGCGCAGGCGGUCCUUUAAGUCUGAUGUGAAAGCCCACGGCUCAACCGUGGAGGGUCAUUGGAAACCGGGGGACUUGAGUGCAGGAGAGAAGAGUGGAAUUCCACGUGUAGCGGUGAAAUGCGUAGAUAUCUGGAGGAACACCGGUGGCGAAGGCGACAUCCUGGACCGGUAUUGACGCUGAGGCGCGAAAGCCAGGGGAGCAAACGGG